ACUCCUUGUUCUACUCUUUACCCCCUUCUCACUACUGCACUUGACUAGUCUUU
This 53-nucleotide non-coding RNA is filed under the name Cervus elaphus hippelaphus. Lineage: Eukaryota; Metazoa; Chordata; Mammalia; Artiodactyla; Cervidae. The record is from RNAcentral.